CCCCUAGAUGUUCUGGGCCGCACGCGCGCUACACUGAACAGUUCAACAAGUCUUAACCUUGGCCGAUAGGCCUGGGUAAUCUUUGAACGCUGUUCGUGAUUGGGAUAGACCUUUGCAAUUAUGGGUCUUCAACGAGGAAUUCCUAGUAAACGCAAGUCAUCAGCUUGCAUUGAUUACGUCCCUGCCCUUUGUACACACCGCCCGUCGCACCUACCGAUUGAAUGGUCCGGUGAAAUCUCGGGACGGCGGCUUGGUCGCUUGCGUCCGACUGCUGAAACUUGAUUAAACCAUAUCAUUUAGAGGAAGGUGAAGUCGUAACA
RNAcentral lists this ribosomal RNA (320 nucleotides) under uncultured eukaryote. RNAcentral's name for it is "partial 18S ribosomal RNA". It matches the Rfam family "Eukaryotic small subunit ribosomal RNA", at positions 1470 to 1796 of the family's 1831-position model. The record is from RNAcentral.